Molecule: ribosomal RNA, 253 nt
Filed under: uncultured bacterium
Lineage: Bacteria
Description: partial 16S ribosomal RNA
Rfam family: Bacterial small subunit ribosomal RNA
Source: RNAcentral
UACGUAGGGCGCAAGCGUUAUCCGGAAUUAUUGGGCGUAAAGAGCUCGUAGGCGGUUUGUCGCGUCUGCCGUGAAAGUCCGGGGCUCAACUCCGGAUCUGCGGUGGGUACGGGCAGACUAGAGUGAUGUAGGGGAGACUGGAAUUCCUGGUGUAGCGGUGAAAUGCGCAGAUAUCAGGAGGAACACCGAUGGCGAAGGCAGGUCUCUGGGCCGAAACUGACGCUGAGGAGCGAAAGCGUGGGGAGCGAACAGG